AAGGCGCAAGGAAGCUGAUUGGCGG
Molecule: small nuclear RNA, 25 nt
Filed under: Arabidopsis thaliana (thale cress)
Lineage: Eukaryota; Viridiplantae; Streptophyta; Magnoliopsida; Brassicales; Brassicaceae
Description: snRNA_06184
Source: RNAcentral